Molecule: non-coding RNA, 241 nt
Organism: Nicotiana tabacum (common tobacco)
Lineage: Eukaryota; Viridiplantae; Streptophyta; Magnoliopsida; Solanales; Solanaceae
Source: RefSeq, a predicted model, not a curated record
UUUUCUACUUCACUCAUUAGUUAACACACAAGCAAGAUAAUGAAGGUGGGCGGUGGAGUGGCUCUCGGAUGUCCACGCGCCGUCGCAUUUCCGGGCAUUUUCUUCGGCCGCUGCAGACCAGCAUUCCGUUGCUAUUCCUCUUCUUCUCCAGAUCAUGUGUCCUUUAUCAAAGAUGUAGCUGCAACUCAAGCACCAGAGCAUUUGAAUGAACUUCUCAAAAUCCUUCAGGUGAGAGGUGAGG